Pelobates cultripes (western spadefoot toad) is the source of this 255-nucleotide non-coding RNA. The record is from the annotation of a GenBank genome assembly. NCBI's taxonomy places the organism in Eukaryota, Metazoa, Chordata, Amphibia, Anura, Pelobatidae.
CCUGCAGUGUUCACCUAAUCUAAUUUUUAAACAUCUAGUGGUCAUACCAACAUAUUGGAAGCCACACGGGCAUUCCAAUAGGUAGAUGACAUUCUUGGUAUUACAUGUAAUAAAUUAUUUUAUUUUAAAAGUAGUUUUGGUUUUAUUUGAAGUAAAUUCUGUUAUUUUAGGUGGCAUUGUAGGAUCAGCUGUUUUACACACAAUACAGUUCUUGCACUUAUAAAAGCCUAGAGAUUGGGGAAAAAAAGAUACAAG